This 496-nucleotide ribosomal RNA is filed under the name uncultured bacterium. RNAcentral's name for it is "partial 16S ribosomal RNA". It matches the Rfam family "Bacterial small subunit ribosomal RNA", at positions 28 to 507 of the family's 1533-position model. The record is from RNAcentral.
GACGAACGCUGGCGGCGUGCCUAAUACAUGCAAGUUGAGCGCUGAAGGUUGGUACUUGUACCAACUGGAUGAGCAGCGAACGGGUGAGUAACGCGUGGGGAAUCUGCCUUUGAGCGGGGGACAACAUUUGGAAACGAAUGCUAAUACCGCAUAAAAACUUUAAACAUAAGUUUUAAGUUUGAAAGAUGCAAUUGCAUCACUCAAAGAUGAUCCCGCGUUGUAUUAGCUAGUUGGUGAGGUAAAGGCUCACCAAGGCGAUGAUACAUAGCCGACCUGAGAGGGUGGUCGGCCACCUUGGAACUGAGACGCGGCCCAAACUCCUACGGUAGGCACCAGUAUGGAAUCUUCGGCAGUGGACGAAAGUCUUACCGAGCAACGCCGCGUGAGUGAAGAAGGUUUUCGGAUCGUAAAACUCUGUUGGUAGAGAAGAACGUUGGUGGGAGUGGAAGCUCAUCAAGUGACGGUAACUACCCAGAAAGGGACGGCUAACUACGUG